UUCAAUAGCACACAUAUUGAGGAUUAAAUUAGUGUUAAAAGAAUUCUGUUCCGAUUAAAAUUGUGGGCGUGGCAUGUGUUUAGGCGUAACAUCAAAAUGCAAGUGAGAAACAAGCCCUGCAGAACUCAUUUAAACAGCAAGGAAGGAGAUCCAGCAGCAAAAAUCUGUUGUGAUGAGUCAAGCUGCACAUCUGGAAAUAAAGGACAACACCAUCCAGGAGUUACAGGAAAAAUUAAAAAACAAAAUGCAGGAAACUAAAAUGCUUGUCCAAGCAUUUGCUGAAGGAAUGGAUGCAGACUGGAUAGAUGACCAAGAAGGACAAGCAGGUCCAUCUUACAGUGCACAUGACAAGCUCACUCACCAUGAGGCCACCUGAUCAGAUGCCAGCACCUCGCUGAUGAACCACUUCCCAGA
Molecule: long non-coding RNA, 414 nt
Organism: Notolabrus celidotus (New Zealand spotty)
Lineage: Eukaryota; Metazoa; Chordata; Actinopteri; Labriformes; Labridae
Exons: 3
Source: RefSeq, a predicted model, not a curated record